GAUGAAGAACGUAGCGAAAUGCGAUACUUGGUGUGAAUUGCAGAAUCCCGUGAACCAUCGAGUCUUUGAACGCAAGUUGCGCCCGAAGCCUCGGCUAAGGGCACGUCUGCCUGGGCGUCACGCAUCGCGUCUCCCCCAAACCGCCAAGGCGGAGGGGAAGGAAGAUGGCUUCCCGUGCCUCACCCGGCGCGGUUGGCCUAAAUUUGGAGCCCGCGGCACUUAGCUCUCGCGGCGAUAGGUGGUGAACAAGGCCUUGGCCGUGCAAACAACCCGCUGCGAAGCUCUAUGUCACGUGCGCUCGUCGGACCCUUUGAAGUUGCCUUCGGUGACUUAAAACCUUUGCGACCCCAGGUCAGGCGGGGCUACCCGCUGAAUUUAAGCAUAUCAAUAAGCGGGGA
This 398-nucleotide unclassified non-coding RNA is filed under the name soil metagenome. Its description in RNAcentral is "partial contains 5.8S ribosomal RNA, internal transcribed spacer 2, and large subunit ribosomal RNA". The stretch from base 1 to 120 matches the Rfam family "5.8S ribosomal RNA", at positions 35 to 154 of the family's 154-position model. The record is from RNAcentral.